This 611-nucleotide long non-coding RNA is filed under the name Elaeis guineensis (African oil palm). RNAcentral describes it as "long non-coding RNA (EGUI_LNC029677)". The record is from RNAcentral. Lineage: Eukaryota; Viridiplantae; Streptophyta; Magnoliopsida; Arecales; Arecaceae.
UACAUCGCAGGCGAUGCACAAAGAAUUUCUCUAGCUUUCAGUCCACUUCUUUGUAAUCCUCUCCCUUCCCUCUUUCUUAUCCUAGCAUUUAGUAUUUUUUUUCUUUAUUUUCUUCUUUUCACGUUAUUGUUAUAAUUUGAACCUUUUACACCUGCUUGAUUAAAUAAUCUAAGAAUAAAAAAAAAAAAAAUCCUAGCACUUGUCCAUUUGGUGGUGGACGUGUAGUUGGCCCAAACAGCUUUCCAGAAAGGUUGGGCUUGAAAUAGGAGCGUGCUUGUUAAAACAGGCCAGGCUCGAGUUUAGUUCAGCUGAGCCCAAGCUCGGUCCAACUCAAGACUGGUUUUGGCAACUAAAAGAGAAUGUUAAUAGCUUUCUUCUGUGCACCAACCCUCAUUAACAACAAUAAACACACAAGUUCAUGGGUCUGAUUUAUCCUUUUCAAAUAAUUAAUCUUUGCGUGUAUUUUUUAAUCUUUAAACUAAAAAAGGGAGUCUACGAAGUUCAAGGACUGGCCUGAGGUCCGGUUCAAAAGCCUGGAGUCUAAGAAAGUACCAAGAUCGGAUCUGGUAAGUAGGCCUCAAGGCCGGGCUGGGUUGAGUUUAGGCCUAACU